RNAcentral lists this long non-coding RNA (1838 nucleotides) under Heterocephalus glaber (naked mole-rat). RNAcentral's name for it is "lncRNA (ENSHGLG00100045180.1)". The record is from RNAcentral. Lineage: Eukaryota; Metazoa; Chordata; Mammalia; Rodentia; Bathyergidae.
UUUUUCUUUCUUUGCUAUUUAAUGUUCAUCACUUAUGUUCUAUGUGUAGGCUUCAGGAGGGCCCAAGAAAUGAUUACACAGGAUGCAAGGGGAGGUGACAGGCCGGUGGCAGGAGGUCUGGAGCACGCAGCUCCCAGCUGCAGGGCCAAAAGGGUUCCGCUGUCGCAGCCCAAGGGAGGGAGGCGGGGACCCUAGAACCAAACACAUGCUACAACAUACUCGCAGCCCCUAACGCCCUCCCCAGCUGUGGUGCAGGAAAAUAAAUACCCUCAGUCUGUUCCAUGCCCCAGGGGCUUGGGUGAGGGGCCAGCAGGUGUGCUUCCUCCUAUCACAGACUGAGGUCACCAAGUGUCACCUAGUGCAAUGCUCCUAGUCCCUACUACAGGCUUGGGAGAGCCCUGGGUGGGGAGGGACGGCGGUCCCUGCACCCCCUGCCCGGGCUCCUUCAUGCUAAAUAGAGGGGGCACAUUCAUUCCAACAGCAAGCAAAACAACAGGCCAAGAAAGGGGUGAAAACGCCACUGAGACCCACGGCCCCUUUCUGGCCACUCUAAGGAAACGGGUCUUCUAAGUUGGGAGGAACCCCUAGAGGUGAUGAGUCCAACUUGGAUUCCUUCUUGCUUCGUUCCCACACCACCGGCCUGCUUUUCUUCAUCAAAAUCUCUGGGCCCAGCCAAGGCCCGGCUGUGGGAAGGGGCGGGGAGCAUUCCCCCACGCAGGGCCCUGGAAGACAGACGGACGCCAGGCCCGGGCUCAGCAUCCUUUGGCCGGCCAAGGCCGGGGUGGGAGGAGACAGUCCGGCCGAGCUCAGCUCCCACCAAGAUGCAGCACUGGCAGCGGCCCCAGCAGGGACCAGUCCUCAGCUGAGACGGGACUCAGAAAGUCCCAUCCUGUGUGUGUGUUGCUGGGGGGAAGUGGGGGCCUGGUCUCUGACUCCUAGGGGUGUGUUGGCUCCAGGUCUGUGCCAGGACAAGGGGCACCAACAGACAGGGGGACAAGCCCACGGGGCACAGGCAUCGGGCAGCAGCAUCCCUUCCCACAAUCCCCAAACCCGACUCCUGCGGGACAGACCCGAGUGGCCAGGCCUCGGGCAAGCAGCCCAGCCCAGAGGGGCCACACAGGGGCCUGAUGGGUACCCUAGAGAGGACUGAGCUUCAGGACAUUUCCCCGAAGCCACUUGGACUCCUCCCCCAGCCCUCCACAAACCUGGGGCCCCUCAUUCAGAGAGGGGGGCUGCACGGCAUCCCCCUUGGCUGGGUGGCCUGGGGCGAGUCACUGCCUCUCUCUGGGCCUCACUGUCCUGCAUGUAAAAGGAAGGGGGGACAGGGUUCCACACCCGCUUCCAGCUCAGCCAGGCCCCUGAUCUCUCAUCUCAGGCCAGCAGGGAGGGCGCGGGAGGGCUUAGGCUAGUACAGUCCCCCUCGCUCCCCAAGUUCACAGUGUAGAGUCCAUGGCUCUGGCUCCUCAGGACCUCCUCCUGAGUCUCUGGGCCUCGUCACUGUCCCACACCAUCCUUGAGGGGCAGCUCCUCCCCAGCUGAGGUGGGAAGGGCUGCCUUCCUAGCGUGGGUGGAAGGGAGGGCAGGCGGGGGCAGGGAAGGCCACUUCUCUCGCUGGAGAGGGUUGUGAUCAGAAGCGAGGGGCCACAGAGAGGUGUGGCAGGGCUGUAGUGUGGGCCAGGCUCGGAGGCCCUGCCCAGUGGAGCCCAGCUCUGUGGGCUGGCCCACCCCUGGGGACAUGGGCUCCGAGGGGGCUGGCCGGAGCUUCAGUCGUCGGAAUGUGGGGACAGGGCGGGGGCUCCCGGCCGUCAGCUCACACGGGGGACGUGGCUGUGGACUCG